RNAcentral lists this transfer RNA (69 nucleotides) under Zea mays. It matches the Rfam family "tRNA". Rfam says of the family: Transfer RNA (tRNA) molecules are approximately 80 nucleotides in length. The record is from Rfam by way of RNAcentral. Lineage: Eukaryota; Viridiplantae; Streptophyta; Magnoliopsida; Poales; Poaceae.
GUCUACCUCAUUUGGUAAAAUUCAAGGCUCUUAACCUUGUGGUCAUGGGUUCAAGCCCCAUGGUGGGCA